RNAcentral lists this ribosomal RNA (468 nucleotides) under uncultured bacterium. RNAcentral describes it as "partial 16S ribosomal RNA". It matches the Rfam family "Bacterial small subunit ribosomal RNA", at positions 28 to 507 of the family's 1533-position model. The record is from RNAcentral.
GACGAACGCUGGCGGCGUGCUUAACACAUGCAAGUCGAACGGAAAGGCCCUGCUUUUGUGGGGUGCUCGAGUGGCGAACGGGUGAGUAACACGUGAGUAACCUGCCCUUGACUUUGGGAUAACUUCAGGAAACUGGGGCUAAUACCGGAUAGGAGCUCCUGCUGCAUGGUGGGGGUUGGAAAGUUUCGGCGGUUGGGGAUGAACUCGCGGCUUAUCAGCUUGUUGGUGGGGUAGUGGCUUACCAAGGCUUUGACGGGUAGCCGGCCUGAGAGGGUGACCGGCCACAUUGGGACUGAGAUACGGCCCAGACUCCUACGGGAGGCAGCAGUGGGGAAUAUUGCACAAUGGGCGGAAGCCUGAUGCAGCAACACCGCGUGCGGGAUGACGGCCUUCGGGUUGUAAACCGCUUUCGCCUGUGACGAAGCGUGAGUGACGGUAAUGGGUAAAGAAGCACCGGCUAACUACGUG